UAGAGUCUAGAUCUAAAUAAAGUUGUUUUGUAAGAGAGAAUACAUUUUGAUUGGUCACAUAUGCUUUCUGCACGAAUAGGCCUAACAAGUGUUUUUAUUUUUUUGCGCGAAGUAACAUAUUCUUAGACGUAGAUCUAUCUGGUGAGUUUUUUUUUUAUUUGUAAUUGUUCAUUUAGAUCUAACUACAGUAGGCUAUUUAGAUAUAUAACAGCGAGAAAUGUACAUUUUCCACGUUUGCUGUUCAUAGGCCCUAAUUUUAUCAGGUUCCUGACUUUUUUGUUUAUGUUCUUAAGUUUUCUUCCUACGUAGAUCUACCUAGAUCUUGGUUCUCUGUUCAAUAAAAAUAAACGUACAGUAGUUGUUUCAUUCCACAAACCACUACGAGUUCACAUCGAGAAAACGGUGUAGACAGUCAAAAGUUUUCGCACUGUCCCGAAACGUGCACCUAGCCGCUCGUACCACGUGACAUGACAUUUGCAAACAUUAUUUUUAGUUUAUAUAGGCCAAUCUUUUAUUUUUUCGUAAUGGAUGCGUAAGCAUAAUCUCUGAAAAAUCCUCAAAAACUAUUUCAGUAGUUGCUUAAGCCUUAUUUGUUUAAAACUGAACAGUAAGGGGAGAUAACUGAAAGGGGAGUUUUUGAAAAGGCCGCCAUUUUCUUGUAAACAGGAGCAAAUCUGAUAAAUUUUACAGGUGUUUGUCUCGACCAUCAACUGGAUCAAAGAGAUUGUGGUGUGUGUGUGUGUGCUGUGUUGAGAUACCAUUGUUGAGGAAGAGUUGCAUUCCAAGUUGCACAACUUGGCAUGCACAAAUGGGAAAAGAUGUGUACAAAGUUCUUGUGAGCAUCCGCUGUUGUUGAACAUGUUGGAUAUGCCAUUCCUGGUCCAACAUGGACAAAAAAUGGACACAUAAUUGGUUAAAGGCAAAGCUAAAAGGCCUACACUGGAUCAAAAAGAGUUUGUGGAGUGUGAUGUGAGCUGUGUUGAGAUACAAUUGUUGAGGAAGAGUUGCAGUUAGUUCAGCAACUUGGCAUACGCAAAUAGGGAAGAAACAUGUACAACAAGGAAAUUCUCGUGAGCAUACGCUGUUGGUGAACAUGUUGGAAAUGCUGUAUGGGUGCCAGUGUAGACAAAAAAUGGAAAGCCGAAAGGAUGCGUGAUUUCUUACCAACACAGUGGACUGAAGACAACCCUACUCCAUGAACCACUUUCAAUUCUGCUUUCCAAAUGAAAUAUAGAACUAAAUGCAGUUCAUCUAACGGAGUGGAGUCCAGCAAUAAUGUUGUGAUUACCAGCAGUUCUGAUAAGUGAUCUACUCGGCCAGCAAACAGGAGAUAUGAACAUUCAGUUGUAAACCAUUGUGAGUGGUUGUAUGUGGAUUUUUAGAAGAUUUGAACAGCCGGUUAUGAAGCAAUGCAUGGUUUUUUGAGUGGACAUCAGUAUUCAGUUAAAACCAGUGUAUGGAUUUUUGAGCAAGUUAUAAUUGUGUAUUAUCAGAAUGAUAUUUCUGGGGUGUUAGGAAAUCACUUACUUUGACAUUCGGAGAACAGAGACUAUAUGAAUAGUGCAAUUUAAAUUAGUGGAUUAACAAAAUACAGGGUUGUCAAUAAGUUUUUGUUGAACAGGCUGAAAUAGAAAUGUAGGCGGCCAGCUAUGGGGGUCCGGGGGCAUGCCCCCCCGGAAAAUUUUGAAAUUCAGCACUUCAUUUCCUGCAUUUUGGAAGCAUUUAAGAACAUAUUUUCCACUGCAUUUUUUAAAUACAAUAUACCUUUAUUUUCACAUUUUUAUGAGCUCACCUGGUAAAUUUGGAGAUAAUAAUAAAAAUGAGUUUACACGUUCAUUAAUGCAUUUUCAAGUCCUGAAAUGAUAAUAUCUAACUUGUCACCACACUCCAACUCUUUGUUAUACUUCUUUGCAAAAUCAAAUAGUUAUUGAACUACUGUAUAUCUAAAUUCAAAACUCUACUGAGUAUUAAACCUGUAGGCCUACUCAUAUUUCUUUUGUGGGGAAGAAGAUUCCCCAGAUGAAUUUUUACGAUUUGGCGUGACAAAAAAUGUCACUGUUAGAACCAUCAAAACAAAAUGUACAGAGUUAGAAGUAACACAAGUUUAGGCAUAGAAAAUUAACUGUUUGAUUCUUAUCCCACCUAUCCUUAUCCAAAACCCCUAGCCUCGAUUUUUUAUUGAUCAAAAUCCAGAUAUCCAAAAUUGUAUGUCCGGGACCAAAUCUCCAGAUUAAAGGAUGUGUUUGACAAAUUAUGAUGGUGCAAAGACAGUUUAACAGCAUUUGACAGUAUCUGAUAUAAAAAUUUACCAUGACAUUUCCUCUUAUUAAAAUGAUUUAAGAGAAAUAUUUAUCAAAAAUCGGCCAGCUGAUACCGCGACAACUACUGUACUUUCGAUUUCAAAAAUUUAUAGAAAAAAGGUAAAAGCCAAUAUAUAUUUUCUGAUCUAAAUUCGAUUGUGAUUAAUAAUUUUUUUAUAGAAAUUAAAUAUCUGUCUCAGUUGUCACAUUAUAAUCAACACCUGGCUUUGUUAUACAAUGCAAUAAACAGCACUCGACAGACUCGAUAGGUGUGAAAAUAUCCGAAAAUUGUUGUUUACACGAUUAGUUAUGAGCGAUUUUGGAUUAUUAAAUGUAAAGGAGCUUGUGGAUAAUUUCUUUGUUUUGUUUUUUGUUGUCUUUUCUUUUAAAUCGGGACCAUCGACACUCAUGAUUUCAAAAUUCUUGGAAAUUAUCGCGGAUGUCCCAUCACUCUUUCUUCCGAAAUUUUUGCUACAAAAUAUAACUUUGACACUACGAUAACUGAUGAAUAUAUUUUCACGUAGAUCUCUGAUAUUAAAUUUCGGGCCUCGACCUUAGCGGUGGACCGUUGGACCGACGCAACCAAAAUAUCGACAGGUCCACUAUCAAAAGUUGGGUAGACCGACGGUCAACCAAUUUUCAGUCACGGUCUGCAAGUAAAAUAAAACCCUUAAAAGUGAAAAAUAGGGGGGAAAUCGUACCCAUAUCGGCGAAUUCACAAAACGAAAGUUGAUUUUGCCUUAAGUACGGCAUUCUACAGUUAUAAGCAUUGGCGAGUUAAAGUCAGGAUCGCACGAAUGGACUACUCAACCGAUCGGGCGAGUGGUUUUUACGUGGUAACUUUACCAAAUUGAGAAAUUACAUCGGGCAAAAUUACCUGGAUUGACUGGAAUUUACCCGCGAAUCGUAAAAAUAUCAAAACGUCAUGCUGGUAAUUUUCCAUUCCACAAGAACGUGCGCCCUAUCGUAAUAUCUAAUUUACAUCGGGGUUACUUUUGACACAAAAAACGCGCGUAGUUCAUUCAUUUUUUAAUAUAAUCGCUUCAAAUUUUCAACACCGCUUGAGAACUAAUACAGUUUGAAUUCUAUAACAAUUUUAAUAAGAUAUCUACAGGAAUGUAGGCAAAAUUCUUUAAAAACGAUAAAAUUUUCAUAUAAUGUUUUGUAAAAUUUCAAACAGCGCGAUCUUGAUCAUUUAUUUCCUUCUUAAAGUAAAUAAACGGUACAUACUAUGGUAAUAAAAUUCAGACUUUUGACCAGAAAGUACAAAAAACACAAUUAAAAAAUCUUAAAUAAUGAAAAAGCGGCAGCAAUUUAAAUACAUGGAGUAAAACGAUUUUUGGCAAACAGAUUUCUGUUAGCGCGGCAGAAUAAGUUACGUGACCUCAUGAACGUAAAUAGAAAUGUGCUUUUAAAAUGAAGCAGUAUGAUGUCGU
Mercenaria mercenaria is the source of this 3736-nucleotide long non-coding RNA. RefSeq lists it as uncharacterized. NCBI's taxonomy places the organism in Eukaryota, Metazoa, Mollusca, Bivalvia, Venerida, Veneridae. The transcript is spliced from 6 exons. The record is from RefSeq and is a predicted model, not a curated record.